AUCUGUGGUUGUAAAGGUCCAAAGAGGGC
RNAcentral lists this non-coding RNA (29 nucleotides) under Homo sapiens (human). Lineage: Eukaryota; Metazoa; Chordata; Mammalia; Primates; Hominidae. The record is from RNAcentral.